RNAcentral lists this ribosomal RNA (554 nucleotides) under uncultured bacterium. RNAcentral describes it as "bacterial SSU rRNA". It matches the Rfam family "Bacterial small subunit ribosomal RNA", at positions 777 to 1325 of the family's 1533-position model. The record is from RNAcentral.
AAUAGAUACCCGGGUAGUCCACGCCGUAAACGAUGAGUGCUAAGUGUUAGGGGGUUUCCGCCCCUUAGUGCUGCAGCUAACGCAUUAAGCACUCCGCCUGGGGAGUACGGUCGCAAGACUGAAACUCAAAGGAAUUGACGGGGGCCCGCACAAGCGGUGGAGCAUGUGGUUUAAUUCGAAGCAACGCGAAGAACCUUACCAGGUCUUGACAUCCCAUUGACCACUAUGGAGACAUAGUUUUCCCUUCGGGGACAACGGUGACAGGUGGUGCAUGGUUGUCGUCAGCUCGUGUCGUGAGAUGUUGGGUUAAGUCCCGCAACGAGCGCAACCCUUGUUCUUAGUUGCCAUCAUUUAGUUGGGCACUCUAAGGAGACUGCCGGUGACAAACCGGAGGAAGGUGGGGAUGACGUCAAAGUCAUCAUGCCCCUUAUGACCUGGGCUACACACGUGCUACAAUGGACGGUACAAACGGUUGCCAACCCGCGAGGGGGGAGCUAAUCCGGAUAAAACCGGUUCUCAGUUCGGAUUGCAGGCUGCAACUCGCUACAUGAACG